UGCGGGGUAGAGCAGAGGCAGCUCGUCGGGCUCAUAACCCGGAGGUCGCAGGUUCGAAUCCUGCCCCCGCUACCU
Molecule: transfer RNA, 75 nt
Filed under: Chloroflexota bacterium
Lineage: Bacteria; Bacillati; Chloroflexota
Description: Chloroflexi bacterium tRNA-Met
Rfam family: tRNA
About the family: Transfer RNA (tRNA) molecules are approximately 80 nucleotides in length. Their secondary structure includes four short double-helical elements and three loops (D, anti-codon, and T loops). Further hydrogen bonds mediate the characteristic L-shaped molecular structure. tRNAs have two regions of fundamental functional importance: the anti-codon, which is responsible for specific mRNA codon recognition, and the 3' end, to which the tRNAs corresponding amino acid is attached (by aminoacyl-tRNA synthetases). tRNAs cope with the degeneracy of the genetic code in two manners: having more than one tRNA (with a specific anti-codon) for a particular amino acid; and 'wobble' base-pairing, i.e. permitting non-standard base-pairing at the 3rd anti-codon position.
Source: RNAcentral